Molecule: ribosomal RNA, 274 nt
Filed under: uncultured bacterium
Lineage: Bacteria
Description: partial 16S ribosomal RNA
Rfam family: Bacterial small subunit ribosomal RNA
Source: RNAcentral
AUACGGAGGGGGCUAGCGUUGUUCGGAAUUACUGGGCGUAAAGCGCGCGUAGGCGGCUUAUCAAGUUAGGCGUGAAAGGCCUGGGCUCAACCCGGGAACUGCGCUUAAUACUGGUAGACUUGAGUCCGGGAGAGGGUGGCGGAAUUCCCAGUGUAGAGGUGAAAUUCGUAGAUAUUAGGAAGAACACCAGUGGCGAAGGCGGCUUACUGGACCGGUACUGACGCUGAGGUACGAAAGCGUGGGGAGCGAACAGGAUUAGAAACCCCGGUAGUCC